This 514-nucleotide ribosomal RNA is filed under the name uncultured Flavobacterium sp. Its description in RNAcentral is "bacterial SSU rRNA". It matches the Rfam family "Bacterial small subunit ribosomal RNA", at positions 9 to 524 of the family's 1533-position model. The record is from RNAcentral. Lineage: Bacteria; Pseudomonadati; Bacteroidota; Flavobacteriia; Flavobacteriales; Flavobacteriaceae.
GAGUUUGAUCAUGGCUCAGGAUGAACGCUAGCGGCAGGCUUAACACAUGCAAGUCGAGGGGUAUAGGUUUUCGGACCUAGAGACCGGCGCACGGGUGCGUAACGCGUAUGCAAUCUGCCUUGUACUGGGGGAUAGCCCAGAGAAAUUUGGAUUAAUACCCCAUAGUAUAAUGAAACCGCAUGGUUUUAUUAUUAAAGUUCCAACGGUACAAGAUGAGCAUGCGUCCUAUUAGCUAGUUGGUGUGGUAACGGCAUACCAAGGCAACGAUAGGUAGGGGUCCUGAGAGGGAGAUCCCCCACACUGGUACUGAGACACGGACCAGACUCCUACGGGAGGCAGCAGUGAGGAAUAUUGGUCAAUGGACGCAAGUCUGAACCAGCCAUGCCGCGUGGAGGAUGAAGGUCCUCUGGAUUGUAAACUUCUUUUAUUUGGGAAGAAAUGUGAGAAUUCUUUUUCACUUGACGGUACCAGAUGAAUAAGCACCGGCUAACUCCGUGCCAGCCGCCGCAGUAAU